UGAAGUUUUCGGAUGGAUUUAAAACAGCUUAGUGGCGGACGGGUGAGUAACGCGUGGGUAACCUGCCUCACACUGGGGGAUAGCAGCUGGAAACGGCUGGUAAUACCGCAUAAGCGCACAAUGUUGCAUGACAUGGUGUGAAAAACUCCGGUGGUAUAAGAUGGACCCGCGUCUGAUUAGCUAGUUGGCAGGGCAACGGCCUACCAAGGCGACGAUCAGUAGCCGACCUGAGAGGGUGACCGGCCACAUUGGGACUGAGACACGGCCCAAACUCC
RNAcentral lists this ribosomal RNA (275 nucleotides) under uncultured Lachnospiraceae bacterium. Its description in RNAcentral is "partial 16S ribosomal RNA". It matches the Rfam family "Bacterial small subunit ribosomal RNA", at positions 67 to 339 of the family's 1533-position model. Lineage: Bacteria; Bacillati; Bacillota; Clostridia; Lachnospirales; Lachnospiraceae. The record is from RNAcentral.